UACGUAGGGCGCAAGCGUUAUCCGGAAUUAUUGGGCGUAAAGAGCUCGUAGGCGGUUUGUCGCGUCUGCCGUGAAAGUCCGGGGCUCAACUCCGGAUCUGCGGUGGGUACGGGCAGACUAGAGUGAUGUAGGGGAGACUGGAAUUCCUGGUGUAGCGGUGAAAUGCGCAGAUAUCAGGAGGAACACCGGUGGCGAAGGCGGAGCUCUGGGCCGUACCUGACACUGAUGCGCGACAGCAUGGGGAGCAAACAGG
RNAcentral lists this ribosomal RNA (253 nucleotides) under uncultured bacterium. Its description in RNAcentral is "partial 16S ribosomal RNA". It matches the Rfam family "Bacterial small subunit ribosomal RNA", at positions 524 to 776 of the family's 1533-position model. The record is from RNAcentral.